Molecule: ribosomal RNA, 1002 nt
Filed under: Uria lomvia lomvia
Lineage: Eukaryota; Metazoa; Chordata; Aves; Charadriiformes; Alcidae
Description: partial 16S ribosomal RNA
Rfam family: Bacterial large subunit ribosomal RNA
Source: RNAcentral
GAAAUGAAUCUCAGUUCUCUCUUGACCCCUCUCCCCGACAAUCUAGCUUAAUCCUCAUGUAGAGGGUUAAGAGUAAUUUAAAGGAGGUACAGCUCCUUUAAAAAAGGAUACAACCUCUAUUAGUGGAUAACCACCUAGACUCCUUCUAUAAACUGUAGGCCCUCAAGCAGCCACCAAUAAAGAGUGCGUCAAAGCUCCACCUAAAAAAAUCCAAUAACAAUACGACUCCCUUACCCGCUAACAGGCUAACCUACAUCGGUAGAAGCAUCAAUGCUAAAAUGAGUAACCAGGGACCAUCCUCUCAAGCGCAGACUUACACUAUUCCGUUAUUAACAGACAGAAGCCAAUACCUCAAUUACAACAAGACUAAAAUAUUAGCCCACUCUGUUACCCCAACUAAGGAGCGCCUACUAGAAAGAUUAAAAUCUGUAAAAGGAACUAGGCAAACCCAAGGCCCGACUGUUUACCAAAAACAUAGCCUUCAGCCCACCAAGUAUUGAAGGUGAUGCCUGCCCAGUGACAUAAUGUUUAACGGCCGCGGUAUCCUAACCGUGCGAAGGUAGCGCAAUCAAUUGUCUCAUAAAUCGAGACUUGUAUGAAUGGCUAAACGAGGUCUUAACUGUCUCUUACAGAUAAUCAGUGAAAUUGAUCUUCCCGUGCAAAAGCGGGAAUUCCAACAUAAGACGAGAAGACCCUGUGGAACUUAAAAAUCAGCGGCCACUAUAUACAAAUUUAAACCUAAUAGGCCUACUACCCUUAAACACUGGUUCGCAUUUUUCGGUUGGGGCGACCUUGGAGAAAAACAAAUCCUCCAAAAAUAAGACCACACUUCUUAACCAAGAGCAACCCCUCAACGUACUAACAGUAACCAGACCCAAUACAAUUGAUCAAUGAACCAAGCUACCCCAGGGAUAACAGCGCAAUCUCCUCUAAGAGCCCUCAUCGACGAGGAGGUUUACGACCUCGAUGUUGGAUCAGGACAUCCUAAUGGUGCAGCCGCUA